CUGCCGUCAACUCAGGCAUGGUUGUCACUUCCUCCUUCAGGCCGCCGUCGUGUUCCCCUGUUAUCAUACAACGUUUGAAUUAUUUGUUAUUUCGUGUGUUUUUGCUACUAGACGGAACCAAGAACUUGGCAAGAGCACAGCCAGAUGACUCAUCUUGCCCUGAUAGCUGGGGCCUCAUCCGGAAUAACACACAUGUCAAGGACUGGAGCAGCUGAGGGCUGGGUGAGCACCUUUUCUCUCUCCAGUGCAGUCUUGCAGCCUGCUGUGUCAUGAACUAAGAACGCCCAUGAGCUAAGCACAGUUUUAAAAUGUAUUAACGUUUUAAAAAGAAUCUGAAGAAGAAUAAAGCCCCAUGAGGUCUGAAAGUUAUAUGAGAUUCAAAUCUGUAGCCAUAAAUAAAGCUUCAUUCACACGGCAACACACACUUGUUUACAUGUGGUCUACUCUGUGCAACUCUGUAUCCUGAAAAAUUUGCUGGUGAAUGACCUCCACGUGUGGCUAACAUGGGCUCAUGGCUUCAAGGGUGAGCGUUCAGGAGACAGGACGUGGAAGCUGCGAUUUUCCCAAAGUAUCUCCUCUUGUUCAAAGCUUGCCAAGGAUAGUGUGACCUCCUUCAUCUCUCUCACUUGACCUACAGCCUUUUCCCAAAAGAGGAGAUUUUUGGAAGGUAGAGG
This is a long non-coding RNA of Bos taurus (domestic cattle), 674 nucleotides long. The record is from Ensembl. NCBI's taxonomy places the organism in Eukaryota, Metazoa, Chordata, Mammalia, Artiodactyla, Bovidae.